AAACUUAAAUGAAUUGACGGGGGCCCGCACAAGCGGUGGAGUAUGUGGUUUAAUUCGACGCAACGCGAAGAACCUUACCAGGGUUUGACAUCCACUGAAUACCUAAGAGAUUAGGUCGGCCCCUUCGGGGGACAGUGAGACAGGUGGUGCAUGGCUGUCGUCAGCUCGUGUCGUGAGAUGUUGGGUUAAGUCCCGCAACGAGCGCAACCCUUAUCCUGUGUUACCAGCGUGAAAGACGGGGACUCACAGGAGACUGCCGCCGACAAGGCGGAGGAAGGCGGGGAUGACGUCAAGUCAUCAUGCCCCUUAUGUCCUGGGCUACACACGUACUACAAUGGGUGCAAACAGAGGGCUGCAAUCCCGCGAGGGGAGCUAAUCCCACAAAGGCACUCUCAGUUCGGAUCGCAGGCUGCAACCCGCCUGCGUGAAGUCGGAAUCGCUAGUAAUCGCAGAUCAGCAGGCUGCGGUGAAUACGUUCCCGGGCCUUGUACACACCGCCCGUCACACCACGAAAGUCUGCAACACCCGAAGCCGGUGGGGUAACCGCAAGGAGCCAGCCGUCGAAGGUGGGGCCGAUGAUUGGGGU
Molecule: ribosomal RNA, 586 nt
Filed under: uncultured Veillonellaceae bacterium
Lineage: Bacteria; Bacillati; Bacillota; Negativicutes; Veillonellales; Veillonellaceae
Description: bacterial SSU rRNA
Rfam family: Bacterial small subunit ribosomal RNA
Source: RNAcentral